RNAcentral lists this ribosomal RNA (904 nucleotides) under uncultured crenarchaeote. RNAcentral describes it as "bacterial SSU rRNA". It matches the Rfam family "Archaeal small subunit ribosomal RNA", at positions 21 to 903 of the family's 1478-position model. The record is from RNAcentral. Lineage: Archaea; Thermoproteati; Thermoproteota.
ACCUCACUGCUAUCGGGGUGAGACUAAGCCAUGCAAGUCUAGGCCCAUAGCCAUCUGUGGGCCUGGCGUACGGCUCAGUAACACGUGGCCAACCUACCCCGAGGAGGCGGAUAACCCCGGGAAACUGGGGUAUAAACCGCCAUAGGUGAGGGGUUCUGGAACGACCCUUCGCUGAAAGACGUGCGCGGGGAUGCCUGUGCACGUGCCUCGGGAUGGGGCUGCGGCCCAUCAGGUAGUUGGUGGGGUAACGGCCCACCAAGCCUAUAACGGGUACGGGCCCUGAGAGGGGGAGCCCGGAGAUGGACUCUGAGACAAGGGCCCAGGCCCUAUGGGGCGCAGCAGGCGCGAAACCUCCGCAAUGGGCGAAAGCCCGACGGGGUUAGUCCGAGUGGCCCCUGCUGAAGGGGCCUUUUGCCAGCUGUAAAAAGGCUGGCGAAUAAGGGGUGGGCAAGUUUGGUGUCAGCCGCCGCGGUAAUACCAGCACCCCGAGUGGUCGGGACGAUUAUUGGGCCUAAAGCAUCCGUAGCCGGCUUAGUAAGUCCUCCGUUAAAUCCAACGGCUUAACCGUUGGGCUGCGGGGGAUACUGCUAAGCUAGGGGGCGGGAGAGGCGAGGGGUAUUCCCAGGGUAGGGGUAAAAUCCGUUGAUCCUGGGAGGACCACCAGUGGCGAAGGCGCCUCGCUAGAACGCGCCCGACGGUGAGGGAUGAAAGCUGGGGGAGCGAACCGGAUUAGAUACCCGGGUAGUCCCAGCCGUAAACGAUGUAGGCUCGAUGUUGGGUUACCCAAGUGGUAACCCAGUGUCGCAGGGAAGCCGUUAAGCCUACCGCCUGGGGAGUACGGCCGCAAGGCUGAAACUUAAAGGAAUUGGCGGGGGAGCACCACAAGGGGUGAAGCCUGCGGUUU